Capsicum annuum is the source of this 518-nucleotide long non-coding RNA. RefSeq lists it as uncharacterized. The transcript is spliced from 2 exons. NCBI's taxonomy places the organism in Eukaryota, Viridiplantae, Streptophyta, Magnoliopsida, Solanales, Solanaceae. The record is from RefSeq and is a predicted model, not a curated record.
UAUAAAUACACCAUUUGAUAUCCUUAUUUUCACACAAUCAAAGUAUUUUAAAGGAUAUUAGAAAAAUGGCUAGCAAAAUAACUAUUUGUGCUAUACUCUUUUGCUUUCUUCUCAUGUUUGCUUCUGAGAUGCAGAUAACAGAAGCAAAAUACUGUAGAAAGCCUAGUAAAGGUUGGAAUGGAAAAUGUUUUCCUAAAAAAUGUGACAAUUGGUGCAAGCAUAAGGAACAUGAAGCUUAUGGAGAUUGUUACAAGGGAUAUUGUUAUUGUUAUUAUAAAUGUUAAAAAAAAUAAAAUGAAUGGCACAAUAUAUAUGGCCAUAAGACUUUUCUUAUGGUAUAGUGUGUCUUAUACAAUAUAAUAAUGUAUGAUUGAAUAAAUAUCUGCGAUUACAUGAUUAAUAUCGCAACAAUUAUGAUUAUAAAUUAUUUAUGGUCUAAUUAAUAUUUGUAACUUGAUGUUUUAUAUGAAAGAUAUUGUAUUAUUAUAUAUGUUGGCAUGCAAUUAUUCUUGUGGGCA